This 274-nucleotide ribosomal RNA is filed under the name uncultured bacterium. Its description in RNAcentral is "partial 16S ribosomal RNA". It matches the Rfam family "Bacterial small subunit ribosomal RNA", at positions 523 to 796 of the family's 1533-position model. The record is from RNAcentral.
AUACGGAGGGUGCAAGCGUUAUUCGGAAUAACUGGGCGUAAAGGGCACGUAGGCGGUUUGGUAAGUCUGAUGUGAAAGCCCACGACUCAAUCGUGGAAGUGCAUUGGAUACUGCCAGACUAGAGUACUGGAGAGGAGAACGGAAUUCCUGGUGUAGAGGUGAAAUUCGUAGAUAUCCGGAGGAACAACGGCGGCGAAGGCGGUUCUCUGGACAGUAACUGACGCUGAGGUGCGAAAGCGUGGGGAGCAAACAGGAUUAGAUACCCCGGUAGUCC